ACUGAAGUAUGGCAUAGGUACAAAGAAGCCAGCAUCUCAAA
This is a regulatory RNA element of Sus scrofa (pig), 41 nucleotides long. It matches the Rfam family "MAT2A 3'UTR stem loop D". Lineage: Eukaryota; Metazoa; Chordata; Mammalia; Artiodactyla; Suidae. The record is from Rfam.